GAGUGAGAGGGAAGAGCUCAUCAUUGGAAUCUGGCAGUGUUUCACUGUCCGAGUUGUAGAUGAGGAGUAGUCCGUCUGGACUGCAUGGCGUCCAAGUACAAUAGGCCGUCAGUGGGACAUCAUAGAGGGUGACAAUCCCGUCCUUGACGCCAAUGUGCAAGUCUAUUACGAUGGCUAUCUCAGAGAGUCGAGCAGUUUGGGAUUUGCUGCUUAAACAUGGGAGGUAGAUUCCUUCUAAAGCUAAAUACAGGCGAGAGACCGAUAGAGAACAAGUACCGCAAGGGAAAGAUGAAAUAGCACUCUGUGAAGGGAGUCAAAAGGCGUGAAAUUGUUGCGAGAGAAGCGAUUCAAGUCAGCGUAGCUAGGCCCAUCAAGCGUCUUCGCUUUGGACUAGCUUUGCCAGCGGUCUUGUCCCUUAAAGAGACUUGACUUGUAAUAUGUCCAGCCUGGCGUGCACAGGCAGCCCCUUCUGGGGGCCAGUGACAUGGCUGGUGGAAUGGCUUGCAAUCGACCCGUCUUGAAACACGGACCAAGGAGUCUAACAUGUAUGCGAGUAUAAGGGUGGCAAACCCGUAUGCGCAAUGAAAGUGAUUUUCGGUGAUUGAGAAUGGCCUGAUGACCAGACAAGCAAUAUAUGUCCCUCGUACGGCCAUUGCCCAAGUUCCGUGGUAGAUCCCACGAACAUGGAGUUGGAGCAUACAUGCUAGGACCCGAAAGAUGGUGAACUAUGCCUGGACAAAGCGAAGCCAAAGGAAACUCUGGUGGAGGCUUGUAGCGAUUCUGACGUGCAAAUCGAUCGUCUGAUCUGGGUAUAGGGGCGAAAGACUA
Molecule: ribosomal RNA, 828 nt
Filed under: Cantharellus cibarius (golden chanterelle)
Lineage: Eukaryota; Fungi; Basidiomycota; Agaricomycetes; Cantharellales; Hydnaceae
Description: eukaryotic LSU rRNA
Rfam family: Eukaryotic large subunit ribosomal RNA
Source: RNAcentral